This 20-nucleotide small nuclear RNA is filed under the name Arabidopsis thaliana (thale cress). RNAcentral describes it as "snRNA_18221". The record is from RNAcentral. Lineage: Eukaryota; Viridiplantae; Streptophyta; Magnoliopsida; Brassicales; Brassicaceae.
CCCGCUGAGUUUAAGCAUAU